AGUAACGCGCGAGAAUCUGGCUUCAGGUCUGGGACAACCACUGGAAACGGUGGCUAAUACCGGAUGUGCCGAGAGGUGAAAGGUUAACUGCCUGAAGAUGAGCUCGCGUCUGAUUAGCUAGUUGGCAGUGUAAUGGACUACCAAGGCGACGAUCAGUAGCUGGUCUGAGAGGACGAUCAGCCACACUGGGACUGAGACACGGCCCAG
This 207-nucleotide ribosomal RNA is filed under the name uncultured bacterium. RNAcentral describes it as "partial 16S ribosomal RNA". It matches the Rfam family "Bacterial small subunit ribosomal RNA", at positions 109 to 334 of the family's 1533-position model. The record is from RNAcentral.